RNAcentral lists this microRNA (23 nucleotides) under Dasypus novemcinctus (nine-banded armadillo). Its description in RNAcentral is "dno-miR-551b-5p". Its record names the gene dno-miR-551b-5p. RNAcentral also lists the same sequence under 9 other names. Lineage: Eukaryota; Metazoa; Chordata; Mammalia; Cingulata; Dasypodidae. The record is from miRBase by way of RNAcentral.
GAAAUCAAGCGUGGGUGAGACCU